UUUGUCGUCGUACGUUAGUGACGUCUGCUGUCUAUUUAUUGGCAUCUUCCAUACCAUAGCAUCUUCACCUUCAACGCCAGGAAAACGUUUAGUGGCCUGUUUGGUGUAGAAUCAGCAAUGGUUAUCUAGGUAAGAAACAUAUAAUUUAUUAAAACGAUAUACUUGCUCAACUGUAUGUCAUUAUUAAACUUUGUCUGACAGAAAGUCGCAUUAUUAUACUCUUAGCGAAGCAAAGAAACGGUACCGUUAAAGUUUUAGGUGUAAAGUUAAUGAAAGCUAGUUCAGGUCAGCUAGUAUGUAGCUAACGUUGUCUUUUAAAUUAGAAUUAGAACUUUGCUGUGGCAAACGGAUGAGCACAACGGUAUUAUUAACACAAACGAUGGAUUAUAACUCCUUGUUAGAUCAUGAGUUUGCUGACAUAUUUUCGAAAGAGGACGGACAAACGUAGAGAGGAGAUUGGGGAGACAACAGAAUCUCACCAGCAGAUGAGAAACAAGCAAGGUGCGUCCGAUUGCGUGUGCUGUUUGAAGAUCCAAUGACUGAAAUUCACCUGCUCUUUUAUCAGUCCACGCUGAUCAUCUUUACACACUUCAACCUUCUCUUCCAACGUCAAGACCCCUCCGUCUACCUACUACAUGAACAAAUCAGGUUUUUCAUAAAGAAACUGAUGUCAAAAUUCCUGAAGCCAGGAGCUUUCAGAGCAGUUGAUGUGGACAGUGUGGACAUCAUGAAUGAAGAGAACCAACUCCCAGAUUCACAGCUUGGCAUUGGCUUCACAACAAGAACCACCUUGAACAGACUCGUUGAAGCUGGUCAUGUCUCCCCUGAGGCUGUUAAGAAGUUCCACAUGGCAGCAAGAAGUUCUUCAUAAGAUCAGUGGAGUAUGCUUUGGCCAAGCUGCCUCUGAAUGACCAAGUGCUGCAGUAUGCCAAGUUUGUGGACUUCAAGCAGAAAAGGGAUGUUGCUGUGGAUUAUGUGCAGUACUUUGUUCAAAGGUUCAACCAUCUCCUGCCAUAUGAUGAGCUGAGGGAACAGGACCACUUAAAUGAUGAAUUCUUGGAGUACCAGAUGAUGGAAGAAAAAGACAUCCCUGAUGCCAUCUGGAGAGAUGCUGUUGUCAGAGAGAGUGCAGAUGGAGAGUACCACAGGAUGGAUCGAAUUUGGGCCUAUCUCAGCACUGUGAAGAACCGCAUAAGUGGAACCCUACAAUUCCCAAGACUGGUAACGGUUGCACAGCUAGUGUUGAUUCUGCCACAUUCUAAGGCUGAUGCUGAACGUACCUUCUCUGUGGUUGGACUUAACAAGACAGACACCUGGAAUAAACUGUCUCUUGAUGGCACACUUUCAUCCAUUAUGUCUAUCAAAAUGAGCAACAUUGAUCCCUGCUACAAAUAUGAGCCCCCUGCUCAGAUUAUAAACGAUGCUAAGUCUGCCACAACCCGUUACAACAGGCCAAAUGUCAGUGUUUAGGAAAAACCAUUCGAAAUUCUGACACAUUCUCAUAUUCAGUUUAUUUGUUCUAGUUUACAAGGCACUUGUAAAGACUUUUUGUGAGCACCUAUAUAAAUAAAUGAAGGUUUUCAAGAAACUUUCCCACUUUUUUUUACAAUAACAUCAAACAUUGGGAAAUGAAUGUAAUUGGUGUAGGUUUAGAUGGUAAGAGGUUUGUGGUGGUGGCGGCAGCAGUGGCCGCCGGCCAAAAUUUCCAGUAGGCUGCUGCAUGCGCAUGUUUGGGGAGAAAUCUCACUCCAGGCAAAUCACCAAAGUUGGCAACCCUGUGAACCCCAAGUUGCUCCCAAUGGCAGGCUAGCACCUUGCAUGUCAGCUCUGCCAUCAUUGGUGUGCGAAUGUGUGUGUGUGAAUGAGAUGCAGUGUAAAGCGCUUUGAAUACCGCUAAGGUUAAGAAGGCGCUAUUAUAAGUGCAGACCGUUUAACAAAGUUUGUUUUUAUACUGAGUAAUAAGCGCUCAAUAUAGUAGCAGUGUAUAUGCAAAAAAGAUAAUCCCUCAAUCUCGGCAUGAUUGGCCAAUCACCGAUCACAGGUUUAAGACAAAGAUCGGCUGAUUUAGAGCCGUUGCCGAUCGAUCGGUGCACCCCCAAUUUUUUUUAAUGUUUGCAUUCAUAGUUUUCAAUGUGCAAUAAAACACCUGAAUACUUGCUUGUCAAGGUUUUUGAAAAGUAAAGAAGAGACAUUUUUGACGCAGCAGAGGGAGAACGUUCUAGCUUUUAAUUCCUUUGUUGUAUCAACACUAACAGUUUUUGCCAGGUACACUUGACAUGUUGAGGAACAACACAAAAGUUUUUUUUUCUCUGAGUUCUCUUAUUUGCAUCCUAAGAUAUAUUAUGUCGAAAAAGAAAAACAACAAAAAUUUCUACUCUGCACUACUAGUUUUCUCAGCAGUGUCUAAAACUAACAAUUUCAGAAUUGUUUCAAAUAUAUAUAUAUAAUGUACAGAUUUUGCUGUUUCUGAAGGAAAUUGGUACAUUAAUUCACUAACGUGGCAUUCAACUGAUCACAAAGUAUAGUCAGGACACUACUGAUGUAAAAAAACAGCACCAUCAAUAUUAAAAAAUAAAUAAUGUUUAUCAAAUCUAGACAGGCCCCAUUUCCAGCAGCCAACACUCCAACACAUUAUCCUAGAGUAAUCAUGCUAAAUUGCUAAUUUUGUACUAGAAAUCACUUGCUGUUAUAUCAGACACAGUUGAAAGAUAUUUGGUUCAUUAAAGGAAGCUCAACAUUGUCUUUGUGUUUGAUUUUGAGUUGCCACAGUAUGAAAUAGACUGGCAUGUCUUAAGGUCAAUAUUAGGACAAAAUUGGCAAAAAAGAAAUGGCUUUCUCUAGAAAUACGUCAGUCAAUCAUUGUUUUGAGUAAUGAAGGAUAUACAAUGCUUGAAAUUGCCCAAAAAAACUGAAGAUUUCAUUCAAAGCUGUACACUACCGUCUUCAAAGACAAAGAACAACUGGCUCUAACAAGAGGAUAAGUACAUCAGAGUCUCGAGUUUGAGAAAUAGUUGCCUCACAUUUCCUCAGCUGACAGCUUCAUUGAAUUCUACCUGCUAAACUUUAGUUUCACGUACAACAGUAGAGAGAAGACUCAGGGGUGCAGGACUUCUGGGAAGAAUUGCAAAGAAAAAGCCACAUUUGAAACAGAAAAACAAAAAGAAAAAUUCAGGGUGGAAAACGAAACACAGAUAAUUGGAAAAGAGUGUUAUGGAUCUUAACCUCAUUGAGCUUUUGUGGGAUCAGUUACACGUAAGAUGCGUGAGAAGUGCCCGACAAGACAGCCACAUCUAUGGCAAGUGCUACAGGAAGUGUGUGGUGAAAUGUCACCUGAGUAUCUGGACAAACUGACAGCUAGAAUGCCAAGGAUCUGCAAAGCUGUCAUUGCUGCAUGUGGAGGAUUUUUUUGAUGAGAACACUUUGAAGUAGUUUAAGGAGUUCUUAAAAUUGUUUUCAAUUUGUAAUAGUAAUUUUUCACAUUAUUAAUUUCCUGACUGUACUUUGCUUUUUCUCCAUGUGAUUGUUUCUGGUCCUGGAUUUUCAAUGAACUGUUUCUGUUCACAUUUUUAUGGAUGAGAUUUGGUGUCAAGCAGUUUUGCCAACUACUUUCAAUGAAAAGUAGCUAAAGCCUGCUAGAAAAGUCGUUAAAUAUCGCUAGAUGAUGGCAUUCGUUAAUUAGCAUAUUCUUGACAUCACAUCAUAUUUGCAUUCUGCCUUGUGUCAGCCCUUUACAUCUGUUUGCUUCUCCCUACUUACUGAGCUCACAUACUGUACUUUAA
This is a long non-coding RNA of Xyrauchen texanus (razorback sucker), 3779 nucleotides long. RefSeq lists it as uncharacterized. NCBI's taxonomy places the organism in Eukaryota, Metazoa, Chordata, Actinopteri, Cypriniformes, Catostomidae. The transcript is spliced from 5 exons. The record is from RefSeq and is a predicted model, not a curated record.